AAUGAAAACCCAAAUUAAAAGGAACAUAUGAGGACCAGAAAAUGCCACCAUGGCUAAAGAGAGUAAAAGAGCCAGUUAGAGACAAGACGACGUCCUUUAAAAAUUUAAGUCAAAUCCUACUGAGGAAAAUAGAAAGAAACAUGAACUCUGGCAAGUCAAGUGUAAAGGUACAAUUAGGCAGGCCCAAAAAAACAAAA
Long non-coding RNA from Chelonia mydas (Green sea turtle), 197 nucleotides. RefSeq lists it as uncharacterized. The transcript is spliced from 3 exons. The record is from RefSeq and is a predicted model, not a curated record. NCBI's taxonomy places the organism in Eukaryota, Metazoa, Chordata, Testudines, Cheloniidae.